This 253-nucleotide ribosomal RNA is filed under the name uncultured bacterium. Its description in RNAcentral is "partial 16S ribosomal RNA". It matches the Rfam family "Bacterial small subunit ribosomal RNA", at positions 524 to 776 of the family's 1533-position model. The record is from RNAcentral.
UACGGAGGGGGCUAGCGUUGUUCGGAAUUACUGGGCGUAAAGCGCACGUAGGCGGCUUUGCAAGUUAGAGGUGAAAGCCCGGGGCUCAACCCCGGAACUGCCUUUGAAACUAGAUUGCUAGAAUCCUGGAGAGGUGAGUGGAAUUCCGAGUGUAGAGGUGAAAUUCGUAGAUAUUCGGAAGAACACCAGUGGCGAAGGCGACUCACUGGACAGGUAUUGACGCUGAGGUGCGAAAGCGUGGGGAGCAAACAGG